This 68-nucleotide transfer RNA is filed under the name Spilopyra sumptuosa. RNAcentral describes it as "tRNA-Met". The record is from RNAcentral. Lineage: Eukaryota; Metazoa; Arthropoda; Insecta; Coleoptera; Chrysomelidae.
AAAAAGAUAAGCUAAAAAAGCUAGUGGGUUCAUACCCCAUUUAUAUAGAUAAUAUUCUAUUCUUUUUA